GAUGAAGAACGUAGCGAAAUGCGAUAAGUAAUGUGAAUUGCAGAAUUCAGUGAAUCAUCGAAUCUUUGAACGCACAUUGCGCCCGCCAGUAUUCUGGCGGGCAUGCCUGUUCGAGCGUCAUUUCAACCAUCAAGCCCCCGGCUUGUGUUGGGGACCUGCGGCUGCCGCAGGCCCUGAAAAGCAGUGGCGGGCUCGCUGUCACACCGAGCGUAGUAGCAUACAUCUCGCUCUGGGCGUGCUGCGGGUUCCGGCCGUUAAACCACCUUCAUAACCCAAGGUUGACCUCGGAUCCGGUAGGAAGACCCGCUGAACUUAAGCAUAUCAAUAAGCGGAGGA
Molecule: unclassified non-coding RNA, 336 nt
Filed under: soil metagenome
Description: partial contains 5.8S ribosomal RNA, internal transcribed spacer 2, and large subunit ribosomal RNA
Rfam family: 5.8S ribosomal RNA (bases 1-120)
Source: RNAcentral